UGUGAAUUGCAGAAUCCCGUGAACCAUCGAGUCUUUGAACGCAAGUUGCGCCCGAAGCCUUCUGGCCGAGGGCACGUCUGCCUGGGUGUCACGC
This 94-nucleotide ribosomal RNA is filed under the name Bonnetia sessilis. RNAcentral describes it as "partial 5.8S ribosomal RNA". It matches the Rfam family "5.8S ribosomal RNA", at positions 66 to 154 of the family's 154-position model. From Rfam's summary of the family: 5.8S ribosomal RNA (5.8S rRNA) is a component of the large subunit of the eukaryotic ribosome. It is transcribed by RNA polymerase I as part of the 45S precursor that also contains 18S and 28S rRNA. The record is from RNAcentral. Lineage: Eukaryota; Viridiplantae; Streptophyta; Magnoliopsida; Malpighiales; Bonnetiaceae.